UACUACAAACAAUUAGGAAACAAUUCCCGGAGCAAAUACACCAAUUAAUAAAAUCCUACCUAAGCAGCAGAACCUUCGUAAUAAAAAUCAAGGACACACAUUCUCAAGUUAAAGACAUCAAGGCCGGGGUACCACAAGGAAGCGUUCUAGGCCCAAUACUAUACACAUUAUACACGGCGAACAUACCAACAACUACCAACAGCACAGUAUUGACAUUCGCGGACGACACAGCUAUACUAGUCAGGCAUACUAACCCAGAAACGGCAGUCAAAAUACUACAAGAACAUAUCGUAAAAAUAGAAAAUUGGCUACAAGAAAAACAAAUAAAAGCAAACCCCAAUAAAUGCAACCAUAUUACAUUCACGCUACGGAAAAAGAUACCACCAAACAUCCUAUUGAACGGCACGCAUAUAACGCAAACAAAGCAUGUCAAAUACCUAGGACUCCAC
This 449-nucleotide unclassified non-coding RNA is filed under the name Bombus terrestris (buff-tailed bumblebee). Its description in RNAcentral is "misc RNA ENSBTSG00005024681.1". The record is from RNAcentral. Lineage: Eukaryota; Metazoa; Arthropoda; Insecta; Hymenoptera; Apidae.